RNAcentral lists this long non-coding RNA (431 nucleotides) under Struthio camelus australis. Its description in RNAcentral is "lncRNA (ENSSCUG00000001752.1)". Lineage: Eukaryota; Metazoa; Chordata; Aves; Struthioniformes; Struthionidae. The record is from RNAcentral.
GAAAAAAAAAGAGAGCUGCAGAAGCCUGCAGAAGGGAUGCUGGGGACAGAGGAGGAAUAUAGUCUGGUCCUUGAUGAUUAACGAUCACUGGACAGACCCGAAACCUGAAAUGACCAGACAGACCAGUGUCCAUGCUAAAGUUCCCGCAAGAUGGGAAUUGAAGAGAGACAAGCGAUGAAACAGCACGUGCUUUGGGAAGACAAAGACAAGGUGAACAUUCAGUGCUGGAGCCAAGAAAGGAACUACGUGCCCUGCAAAGAAUUUAGAGAAUGAAGGCAGCUGUUUGUAUGAGUUACUCUGCAGUGACUUUUGCUUCCAGAGGAAACUCUCCCUUUCAAUACUUGAAAUGGACUUUAUAUGGCAACACUGCCCACCGGUACUUCCCAGAGGAAUACAGAUACUUUCCUCAGGCAAGAAAUCCAGCAGAAUGA